Molecule: non-coding RNA, 26 nt
Filed under: Homo sapiens (human)
Lineage: Eukaryota; Metazoa; Chordata; Mammalia; Primates; Hominidae
Source: RNAcentral
UAUUUUAAGGUCCCACAUGAUAGGUU